UUGUUCGCCAAACAACUACGAGUAGUAACUUAAAACUUAAAAGACUUGACGGUACUUCACCACAACCUAGAGGAGCCUGUCUAAUAACCGACAACCCACGAUUAACCCAACCCUAUCUUGCCAACAGUCUAUAUACCACCGUCGCAAGCUCACCUUGUAAAAGAACUAUAGCGAGCUCAAUAGUCCACCACUAACACGACAGGUCGAGGUGUAACUCAUGAAAGGGUCACAGAUGGGCUACACUCUCUUCCUAGAGAACACGAAUAACACCAUGAACAUGGUAUUUGAAGGAGGAUUUAGCAGUAAGAUAGGAAUAAACUACCUAACUGAACAUUUAGCAAUGAAGUGCGCACACACCGCC
This 361-nucleotide ribosomal RNA is filed under the name Cerastes gasperettii. RNAcentral describes it as "partial small subunit ribosomal RNA". The record is from RNAcentral. Lineage: Eukaryota; Metazoa; Chordata; Lepidosauria; Squamata; Viperidae.